CGGAAAUAUUCAUUCAGUCCCCAGGUCUCGGCUGGGGAACAUCAAAAUUUUGAGGUGAUUUUUUUUUAGUAAGCUAAAGUUAUAUCAAGCAAACAAAAUAAAACAAAAAAACUCUCCACACUCUUACCGGAUACAGCCGUAAAUCCAUAUCCAAAUCCACAAGUUUGUUGUUUUUAUACCCGAUACUCAAAAUGAGUAUUGGGGUAGAUUAGAUUUGUGGUAAAAG
Molecule: long non-coding RNA, 226 nt
Organism: Drosophila miranda
Lineage: Eukaryota; Metazoa; Arthropoda; Insecta; Diptera; Drosophilidae
Exons: 2
Source: RefSeq, a predicted model, not a curated record